RNAcentral lists this ribosomal RNA (497 nucleotides) under uncultured bacterium. RNAcentral describes it as "partial 16S ribosomal RNA". It matches the Rfam family "Bacterial small subunit ribosomal RNA", at positions 28 to 507 of the family's 1533-position model. The record is from RNAcentral.
GAUGAACGCUGGCGGCGUGCCUAAUACAUGCCAGUCGAGCGAACAGACGAGGAGCUUGCUCCUCUGACGUUAGCGGCGGACGGGUGAGUAACACGUGGAUAACCUACCUAUAAGACUGGGAUAACUUCGGGAAACCGGAGCUAAUACCGGAUAAUAUAUUGAACCGCAUGGUUCAAUAGUGAAAGACGGUUUUGCUGUCACUUAUAGAUGGAUCCGCGCCGCAUUAGCUAGUUGGUAAGGUAACGGCUUACCAAGGCAACGAUGCGUAGCCGACCUGAGAGGGUGGUCGGCCACACUGGAACUGAGACACGGUCCAGACUCCUACGGGAGGCAGCAGUAGGGAAUCUUCCGCAAUGGGCGAAAGCCUGACGGAGCAACGCCGCGUGAGUGAUGAAGGUCUUCGGAUCGUAAAACUCUGUUAUUAGGGAAGAACAAAUGUGUAAGUAACUAUGCACGUCUUGACGGUACCUAAUCAGAAAGCCACGGCUAACUACGUG